AGAGUUUGAUCCUGGCUCAGAUUGAACGCUGGCGGCAUGCUUUACACAUGCAAGUCGAACGGCAGCGGGGAGCUUGCUCCGCCGGCGAGUGGCGAACGGGUGAGUAAUGCAUCGGAACGUACCCAGUCGUGGGGGAUAACGUAGCGAAAGCUACGCUAAUACCGCAUACGACCUACGGGUGAAAGCGGGGGACCGCAAGGCCUCGUGCGAUUGGAUCGGCCGAUGUCGGAUUAGCUAGUUGGUGGGGUAAAGGCCCACCAAGGCGACGAUCCGUAGCGGGUCUGAGAGGAUGAUCCGCCACACUGGAACUGAGACACGGUCCAGACUCCUACGGGAGGCAGCAGUGGGGAAUAUUGGACAAUGGGCGCAAGCCUGAUCCAGCCAUGCCGCGUGAGUGAAGAAGGCCCUCGGGUUGUAAAGCUCUUUUGGGCGGGAAGGAAUCGCAUCAGUUAAUACCUGGUGUGGAUGACGGUGCCGAAAGAAUAAGC
RNAcentral lists this ribosomal RNA (488 nucleotides) under uncultured Pseudomonadota bacterium. RNAcentral describes it as "bacterial SSU rRNA". It matches the Rfam family "Bacterial small subunit ribosomal RNA", at positions 8 to 491 of the family's 1533-position model. The record is from RNAcentral. Lineage: Bacteria; Pseudomonadati; Pseudomonadota.